CUACGGGGCGCUCCAGUCGGGAAUAUUGCGCAAUGGAGGAAACUCUGACGCAGUGACGCCGCGUAUAGGAAGAAGGUUUUCGGAUUGUAAACUAUUGUCGUUAGGGAAGAUAAAAGACAGUACCUAAGGAGGAAGCUCCGGCUAACUACGUGCCAGCAGCCGCGGUAAUACGUAGGGAGCAAGCGUUAUCCGGAUUUAUUGGGUGUAAAGGGUGCGUAGACGGGAAGACAAGUUAGUUGUGAAAUCCCUCGGCUUAACUGAGGAACUGCAACUAAAACUAUUUUUCUUGAGUGUUGGAGAGGAAAGUGGAAUUCCUAGUGUAGCGGUGAAAUGCGUAGAUAUUAGGAGGAACACCGGUGGCGAAGGCGACUUUCUGGACAACAACUGACGUUGAGGCACGAAAGUGUGGGGAGCAAACAGGAUUAGAUACCCUAGUAGUC
Molecule: ribosomal RNA, 440 nt
Filed under: uncultured bacterium
Lineage: Bacteria
Description: partial 16S ribosomal RNA
Rfam family: Bacterial small subunit ribosomal RNA
Source: RNAcentral